GGGCCUGAUCCUUUGCUCAACCU
Molecule: microRNA, 23 nt
Filed under: Daphnia pulex (common water flea)
Lineage: Eukaryota; Metazoa; Arthropoda; Branchiopoda; Diplostraca; Daphniidae
Also listed under: 1 other name
Description: Dpu-Mir-87-o5a_5p* (star (passenger))
Source: RNAcentral